Molecule: ribosomal RNA, 588 nt
Filed under: Escherichia coli
Lineage: Bacteria; Pseudomonadati; Pseudomonadota; Gammaproteobacteria; Enterobacterales; Enterobacteriaceae
Description: partial 23S ribosomal RNA
Rfam family: Bacterial large subunit ribosomal RNA
Source: RNAcentral
CAUAGGUUAAUGAGGCGAACCGGGGGAACUGAAACAUCUAAGUACCCCGAGGAAAAGAAAUCAACCGAGAUUCCCCCAGUAGCGGCGAGCGAACGGGGAGCAGCCCAGAGCCUGAAUCAGUGUGUGUGUUAGUGGAAGCGUCUGGAAAGGCGCGCGAUACAGGGUGACAGCCCCGUACACAAAAAUGCACAUGCUGUGAGCUCGAUGAGUAGGGCGGGACACGUGGUAUCCUGUCUGAAUAUGGGGGGACCAUCCUCCAAGGCUAAAUACUCCUGACUGACCGAUAGUGAACCAGUACCGUGAGGGAAAGGCGAAAAGAACCCCGGCGAGGGGAGUGAAAAAGAACCUGAAACCGUGUACGUACAAGCAGUGGGAGCCUCUUUAUGGGGUGACUGCGUACCUUUUGUAUAAUGGGUCAGCGACUUAUAUUCUGUAGCAAGGUUAACCGAAUAGGGGAGCCGAAGGGAAACCGAGUCUUAACUGGGCGUUAAGUUGCAGGGUAUAGACCCGAAACCCGGUGAUCUAGCCAUGGGCAGGUUGAAGGUUGGGUAACACUAACUGGAGGACCGAACCGACUAAUGUUGAAAA